This is an RNA transcript of Musa acuminata subsp. malaccensis (wild Malaysian banana), 1059 nucleotides long. RefSeq lists it as uncharacterized. NCBI's taxonomy places the organism in Eukaryota, Viridiplantae, Streptophyta, Magnoliopsida, Zingiberales, Musaceae. The record is from RefSeq and is a predicted model, not a curated record.
AUUGCUGUUUGUGAGUAUCCAAGAGAGAGCAAAACAACGGCAUUCUUUACCAACAUGGCGGGAUAAAUGAUGCUGAUGAUGAUCAAGCUCUGAUGGACGCUACGGACAUCCAACCAUCUUUGAAGCGCACACCACGGCUAGGGUUCGGAAUUCUGGGACGACGGCGGCCGCCAUGCACAACUCAGCGGUAACCCUCAAUCGUUCUCUUCCUAUCGUCUACGGAGUUUGGACCCUCAGAAUAUUGCGUGUUUUCGUCGUAUUGAUACGACAUCUCGUCUGAUUGAUCUUGCUGCGUAUUUCAUCGAAUUAUCUGGUCGUCUUCGAGCCCGUCCGAGAUCUUCGAGAAGCCUGUCAAGAAGUUGAAGACGCCCCAAAGCGACCGCAAGAUCUGCGUUAAGGAAUUGGAGUUGGAAGCUAAGCUUGAGGAUAGAUCCAAGAAACACAGACGCAAAAGUAGGGGCUGGAAGCAUCACACAAAUUCACCACAUAUGGGUUUCUAGCUCAAGGCACAAGCAGGAGAACAAGAAAACUGCCAUCCCAUGGCCAUCAAGCAAACAAGAUCCGGAAGACUGCUGCACACAUGAAGAUGAUGGUCUUAGAGACACAGAAGUCGAAGAGUUUCUUCACUCGAGGUUCAAGAAUGGGAUGAAGCUGGUCCAUAUCUUUCACAGACAUGUUCUGAUCAAAGAUGGUGACUCGCCAAGUCAUGAUGUGCGGGUGAAGGAAGAAUGGGAAAACCAUGUUAUUGGCCCUGAGAUUCUGAUGAAUUCUGAUAGUGAGUCAAUAACAUGGUUUCUCUUCCCAAGAUGGUGAGAAACCAACCUACUUGUAAUGAUUCUGAUGCAGAAACUAGGUUGUGCCGUACAAGGAGUUCAAGAAAGUGUCAUUCCAAGAAAAGGAGAUCAAAGGAAGAGAAACUAGGAAAAAGACAAAAGGACAGAAAAGAGAUCCUAAAAGCAGAAGAACACAGGAUUGAUGUAUAAAGGUGAGAUAUAACUUACUCAAACGUUCUUGUAGAAUUAAAAAAAAAAGUAAUGAUUUCACGCAUUUGAUGGAUCA